UGAGUUUUGAUCCUGGCUCAGGACGAACGCUGGCGGCGUGCCUAAUACAUGCAAGUCGAGCGAAUGAUGAAGAAGCUUGCUUCUUCUGAUUUAGCGGCGGACGGGUGAGUAACACGUGGGCAACCUGCCCUGUAGAUUGGGAUAACUCCGGGAAACCGGGGCUAAUACCGAAUAAUCCAUUNCCUCACAUGAGGAAAUGUUAAAAGACGGUUUCGGCUGUCACUACAGGAUGGGCCCGCGGCGCAUUAGCUAGUUGGUGAGGUAACGGCUCACCAAGGCGACGAUGCGUAGCCGACCUGAGAGGGUGAUCGGCCACACUGGGACUGAGACACGGCCCAUACUCCUACGGGAGGCAGCAGUAGGGAAUCUUCCACAAUGGACGAAAGUCUGAUGGAGCAACGCCGCGUGAGGAAGAAGGUUUUCGGAUCGAAAAACUCUGUUGGGAGGGAAGAACAAGUACGAGAGUAACUGCUCGUACCUUGACGGUACCUUAUUAGAAAGCCACGGUUAACUACGUGCCAGCAGCCGGGGUAAUACGUAGGUGGCAAGCGUUGUCCGGAAUUAUUGGGCGUAAAGCGCGCGCAGGCGGUUCUUUAAGUCUGAUGUGAAAGCCCACGGCUCAACCGUGGAGGGUCAUUGGAAACUGGGGGACUUGAGUGCAGAAGAGGAAAGCGGAAUUCCAAGUGUAGCGGUGAAAUGCGUAGAGAUUUGGAGGAACACCAGUGGCGAAGGCGGCUUUCUGGUCUGUAACUGACGCUGAGGCGCGAAAGCGUGGGGAGCAAACAGGAUUAGAUACCCUGGUAGUCCACGCCGUAAACGAUGAGUGCUAAGUGUUAGGGGGUUUCCGCCCCUUAGUGCUGCAGCUAACGCAUUAAGCACUCCGCCUGGGGAGUACGGUCGCAAGACUGAAACUCAAAGGAAUUGACGGGGGCCCGCACAAGCGGUGGAGCAUGUGGUUUAAUUCGAAGCAACGCGAAGAACCUUACCAGGUCUUGACAUCCCGCUGACCGACCUAGAGAUAGGCUUUUCCCUUCGGGGACAGCGGUGACAGGUGGUGCAUGGUUGUCGUCAGCUCGUGUCGUGAGAUGUUGGGUUAAGUCCCGCAACGAGCGCAACCCUUGAUCUUAGUUGCCAGCAUUCAGUUGGGCACUCUAAGGUGACUGCCGGUGAUAAACCGGAGGAAGGUGGGGAUGACGUCAAAUCAUCAUGCCCCUUAUGACCUGGGCUACACACGUGCUACAAUGGACGGUACAGAGGGUCGCAACCCCGCGAGGGUGAGCUAAUCCCAUAAAACCGUUCUCAGUUCGGAUUGUAGGCUGCAACUCGCCUACAUGAAGCCGGAAUCGCUAGUAAUCGUGGAUCAGCAUGCCACGGUGAAUACGUUCCCGGGCCUUGUACACACCGCCCGUCACACCACGAGAGUUUGUAACACCCGAAGUCGGUGGGGUAACCCUUUUGGGAGCCAGCCGCCGAAGGUGGGACAGAUGAUUGGGGUGAAGUCGUAAGG
RNAcentral lists this ribosomal RNA (1507 nucleotides) under Bacillus sp. KGN24. RNAcentral's name for it is "bacterial SSU rRNA". It matches the Rfam family "Bacterial small subunit ribosomal RNA". Lineage: Bacteria; Bacillati; Bacillota; Bacilli; Caryophanales; Bacillaceae. The record is from RNAcentral.